UCAGUUAUGCGUCAAGGCUUGUAUCGCCCGAAGCGUAUUGUGGGUUUUCUGUAUUGCAUACCUAAUUGACGGUAUUGUUUGGAUCGAUUGAAGUCCCUUUUCGUCUUGUGUUGCAUUUUGUGAUGAAUGAUGAACCUUGAAGCGGUCUCUAUGAUCCAUCAUGUUGAUGCGCAUGCAUUGAUCAUGUGGCCCAUUGAGCUUUGCUUUGUUUCUUGGAUACGGAAAAUGAUGUGGGCAUGGGGGUCUGUCAUGAUCUUUGUUUUGCCCUCGUUUGGUGUUCUCUAUAACGACAGUUCAUGCGCGCCUAGGCUCGUACCUGUGUGAUGUUCUAUGUCGAAGAGGAAUGCUACCUGGUUGAUCCUGCCAGUA
RNAcentral lists this unclassified non-coding RNA (369 nucleotides) under Miricacalia makineana. Its description in RNAcentral is "partial contains external transcribed spacer and 18S ribosomal RNA". The record is from RNAcentral. Lineage: Eukaryota; Viridiplantae; Streptophyta; Magnoliopsida; Asterales; Asteraceae.